RNAcentral lists this ribosomal RNA (471 nucleotides) under uncultured Psychromonas sp. RNAcentral's name for it is "bacterial SSU rRNA". It matches the Rfam family "Bacterial small subunit ribosomal RNA", at positions 58 to 516 of the family's 1533-position model. Lineage: Bacteria; Pseudomonadati; Pseudomonadota; Gammaproteobacteria; Alteromonadales; Psychromonadaceae. The record is from RNAcentral.
CGCGUGGGACGGUAACAGAGAAUAGCUUGCUAUUUUGCUGACGAGUGGCGGACGGGUGAGUAAUGCUUGGGAAUUUGCCAAAAGGUGGGGGACAACAGUUGGAAACGACUGCUAAUACCGCAUAAUGUCUACGGACCAAAGGUGGCCUCUAUUUAUAUGCUAUCGCCUUUCGAUGAGCCCAAGUGGGAUUAGCUAGUUGGUAAGGUAAUGGCUUACCAAGGCGACGAUCCCUAGCUGGUCUUAGAGGAUGACCAGCCACACUGGAACUGAGACACGGUCCAGACUCCUACGGGAGGCAGCAGUGGGGAAUAUUGCACAAUGGAGGAAACUCUGAUGCAGCCAUGCCGCGUGUGUGAAGAAGGCUUUCGGGUUGUAAAGCACUUUCAGCGAGGAGGAAAGGGUGUAUCUUAAUACGGUACAUCUGUGACGUUACUCGCAGAAGAAGCACCGGCUAACUCCGUGCCAGCAGCC